This 482-nucleotide ribosomal RNA is filed under the name uncultured bacterium. RNAcentral describes it as "bacterial SSU rRNA". It matches the Rfam family "Bacterial small subunit ribosomal RNA", at positions 30 to 507 of the family's 1533-position model. The record is from RNAcentral.
AUUGAACGCUGGCGGCAUGCCUUACACAUGCAAGUCGAACGGCAGCACGGGGCAACCUGGUGGCGAGUGGCGAACGGGUGAGUAAUGCAUCGGAACGUGCCAUUGAGUGGGGGAUAACGUAGCGAAAGUUGCGCUAAUACCGCAUAUUCUGUGAGCAGGAAAGCAGGGGACCGCAAGGCCUUGCGCUCUUUGAGCGGCCGAUGUCAGAUUAGCUAGUUGGUGAGGUAACGGCUUACCAAGGCGACGAUCUGUAGCGGGUCUGAGAGGAUGAUCCGCCACACUGGAACUGAGACACGGUCCAGACUCCUACGGGAGGCAGCAGUGGGGAAUUUUGGACAAUGGGCGCAAGCCUGAUCCAGCCAUGCCGCGUGAGUGAAGAAGGCCUUCGGGUUGUAAAGCUCUUUCGGCCGGGAAGAAAUCGCAUGGGUCAAUACCCUGUGUGGAUGACGGUACCGGAAUAAGAAGCACCGGCUAACUACGUG